UGGGGAAUAUUGCACAAUGGGCGCAAGCCUGAUGCAGCCAUGCCGCGUGUGUGAAGAAGGCCUUCGGGUUGUAAAGCACUUUCAGCGAGGAGGAAGGUGGUGAGCUUAAUACGCUCAUCAAUUGACGUUACUCGCAGAAGAAGCACCGGCUAACUCCGUGCCAGCAGCCGCGGUAAUACGGAGGGUGCAAGCGUUAAUCGGAAUUACUGGGCGUAAAGCGCACGCAGGCGGUUUGUUAAGUCAGAUGUGAAAUCCCCGGGCUCAACCUGGGAACUGCAUUUGAAACUGGCAAGCUAGAGUCUCGUAGAGGGGGGUAGAAUUCCAGGUGUAGCGGUGAAAUGCGUAGAGAUCUGGAGGAAUACCGGUGGCGAAGGCGGCCCCCUGGACGAAGACUGACACUCAGGUGCGAAAAGCGUGGGGCAGCAAACAGGAUUAGAUACCCUGGUAGUCCACGCUGUAAAACGAUGUCGAUUUUGGAGGUUGUGCCCUUGAGGCGUGGCUUCCGGAGCUAACGCGUU
This 518-nucleotide ribosomal RNA is filed under the name uncultured bacterium. RNAcentral describes it as "partial 16S ribosomal RNA". It matches the Rfam family "Bacterial small subunit ribosomal RNA", at positions 355 to 861 of the family's 1533-position model. The record is from RNAcentral.